RNAcentral lists this ribosomal RNA (405 nucleotides) under uncultured prokaryote. Its description in RNAcentral is "bacterial SSU rRNA". It matches the Rfam family "Bacterial small subunit ribosomal RNA", at positions 355 to 776 of the family's 1533-position model. The record is from RNAcentral. RNAcentral also lists the same sequence under 1 other name.
UGGGGAAUAUUGCGCAAUGGGGGAAACCCUGACGCAGCAACGCCGCGUGAAGGAAGAAGGUCUUCGGAUUGUAAACUUUUGUCUUAUGGGAAGAUACAAGACGGUACCAUAGGAGGAAGCCACGGCUAACUACGUGCCAGCAGCCGCGGUAAUACGUAGGUGGCAAGCGUUGUCCGGAAUUACUGGGUGUAAAGGGCGUGUAGGCGGGACUUUAAGUCAGAUGUGAAAUACCCGAGCUUAACUCGGGAACUGCAUUUGAAACUGAGGUUCUUGAGUGAUGGAGAGGAAAGCGGAAUUCCUAGUGUAGCGGUGAAAUGCGUAGAUAUUAGGAGGAACACCAGUGGCGAAGGCGGCUUUCUGGACAUUAACUGACGCUGAGGCGCGAAAGCGUGGGGAGCAAACAGG